Molecule: ribosomal RNA, 460 nt
Filed under: uncultured bacterium
Lineage: Bacteria
Description: bacterial SSU rRNA
Rfam family: Bacterial small subunit ribosomal RNA
Source: RNAcentral
ACGAACGCUGGCGGCGUGCUUAACACAUGCAAGUCGAACGGAAAGGCCCUUCGGGGUACUCGAGUGGCGAACGGGUGAGUAACACGUGGGUGAUCUGCCCUGCACUUUGGGAUAAGCCUGGGAAACUGGGUCUAAUACCGAAUAUGACCAUGCACUUCCUGGUGUGUGGUGGAAAGCUUUUGCGGUGUGGGAUGGGCCCGCGGCCUAUCAGCUUGUUGGUGGGGUAAUGGCCUACCAAGGCGACGACGGGUAGCCGGCCUGAGAGGGUGACCGGCCACACUGGGACUGAGAUACGGCCCAGACUCCUACGGGAGGCAGCAGUGGGGAAUAUUGCACAAUGGGCGCAAGCCUGAUGCAGCGACGCCGCGUGAGGGAUGACGGCCUUCGGGUUGUAAACCUCUUUCAGCACAGACGAAGCGCAAGUGACGGUAUGUGCAGAAGAAGGACCGGCCAACUACGU